This 1947-nucleotide ribosomal RNA is filed under the name human gut metagenome. RNAcentral describes it as "bacterial LSU rRNA". It matches the Rfam family "Bacterial large subunit ribosomal RNA", at positions 3 to 1977 of the family's 2925-position model. The record is from RNAcentral.
UUAAGCUACUAAGAGCGUAGGGAGAAUGCCUAGGUACCAAUAGCCGAAGAAAGACGUGAUAAGCUGCGAAAAGCCACGGGGAGAAGCAAAUAUUCAAUAUAUCCGUGGAUUUCUGAAUGAGGAAACUCAACUGACAGGAACAGGUCAGUUAUCUAUACAUGAGUAAAGUAGUGUAUAGAGGGGAACGUGGGGAACUGAAACAUCUAAGUACCCACAGGAAAAUAAAGAAAACUCGAUUCCUAGAGUAGUGGCGAGCGAAAUAGGAAGAGCCCAAACCGGAAGAAGAAAUUCAUCCGGGGUUCGGACUACAUAAUUGAUUCAAGAAGGUUAGUAAAAUUGUUUGGGAAAGCAAACCAGAGACGGUGAAAGUCCAGUAUACGAAAACUGAAUUGACAAGGUAGUAUCCAGAGUAGUGCGAGACACGUGAAAUCUCGUAUGAAAGAGCGGGGACCACCCCGUAAGGCUAAAUACUAAUUGGUAACCGAUAGUGAAGAAGUACCGUGAGGGAAAGUUGAAAAGAACCCCGGGAGGGGAGUGAAAUAGAACCUGAAACCCUAUGUUUACAAGCAGACAAAGCACGUUAAGGUGCGAUGUCGUACUUUUUGUAGAACGGUCCGGCGAGUUAUUUUAUAUGGCAAGGUUAAGUACUGAAGGUACGAAGCCGAAGAGAAAUCGAGUCUGAAGAGGGCGAAGAAGUCAUAUGAAAUAGACCCGAAACCGAGUGACCUAUCCAUGUCCAGGUUGAAGCUUGAGUAAAAUCAAGUGGAGGACCGAACCGAUAAGCGUUAAAAAGCUUCCGGAUGAGGUGUGGAUAGAGGAGAAAUUCCAAUCGAACUCGGAGAUAGCUGGUUCUCCUCGAAAUAGUUUUAGGACUAGCCUUGUUUUAUUAGCACAUGGGGGUAGAGCACUGAAUGAGGUAGGGGCCAACAAGGUUACUGAACUCUAUCAAACUACGAAUACCGUGUGUGGAAGAACAGGAGUCAGACUGCGGGAGCUAAGUUCCGUGGUCAAAAGGGAAAGAGCCCAGAUCGUCAAUUAAGGUCCCAAAGAUAUAGUUAAGUGGAAAACGAUGUGAUUUUGCGUAAACAACCAGGAUGUUGGCUUAGAAGCAGCCAUUCAUUCAAAGAGUGCGUAAUAGCUCACUGGUCGAGUGAUUGUGCGCCGAAAAUGUAACGGGGCUAAACUUGACACCGAAGUCUAGGCAGAAGGAAACUUCUGGGUAGGGGAGCAACGUGUACGGGCAGAAGCAGAAGCGGAAGCGACUGUGGACUGUACAGGAGAGAGAAUGCCGGCAUGAGUAGCGAGAGCAAAGUGAGAAUCUUUGCCGUCGAAAGCCUAAGGUUUCCUGAGGAAGGCUCGUCCUCUCAGGGUAAGUCGGGACCUAAGCCGAGGACAAUAGUCGUAGGCGAUGGACAAUCGGUUAAUAUUCCGAUACCGCCGAGCAACCGGAUGCAGUGACACAGAAGGAUAGGCAGAGCGUGGCGAUGGUAGACCACGUCCAAGCAGUGAGGCUGUUGUGUAGUGAAGUACGCACAACGGAAGGCUGGGCUGUGAUGGGGAACGAUUACGAUCGGUAAGCUGCUGAAUUCACGCUGGCGAGAAAAGCUGCUACGAAGCGAAGGCGCCCGUACCGCAAACCGACACAGGUAGGCGAGGAGAGAAUCCUAAGACGAGCGGGAGAACCCUUGUUAAGGAACUCGGCAAAAUGACUCCGUAACUUAGGGAGAAGGAGUGCCUCGAGAGGGGCCGCAGAGAAUAGGCCCAAGCGACUGUUUACCAAAAACACAGGUCUGUGCGAAGUAGAGAUACGACGUAUACGGGCUGACGCCUGCCCAGUGCCGGAAGGUUAAGGGGAAGUGUUAGGGCAACCGAAGCACGGAACUUAAGCCCCGGUGAACGGCGGCCGUAACUAUAACGGUCCUAAGGUAGCGAAAUUCCUUGUCGGGU